AUGACUCCCACGUGGUCUUGGGCUUCCGCUUUUGCAAAAGUCCUUUGCAGCCAGCACAGUAUCAUACCUAUAAGACGUGGAAGAGAGCAAGCUCACCGUGCUCAGACCAGUGAAACCUGCUCACGGCCCUGUGGCUUCUCAGCUGCUUACUUACCUCUUCCGUCCGGCUCAAACAAAGCUUCACGAACCUUUCUUCCCACUAUGGAAGAACAUCUUUCAGUUUAGAGAUGCUGGGGUUCUGCAGUCCUUGCGGGGAGCAGGCAUCCACUCGCAACUUCAGCAGUCCGCUUCUGGUACUAUCCGAGCGGCACACCUUCAUGGACAGUUAGUCACCCCCCUCCUGCCCCUUGCCAACAUUGCAGACCACUUGACCUGAGUAAUUGUCAUCCCUUUCAAAAUCAGCCCUUCUUAAGUGAUGAUGAGCACGGACUGUCUAGCAGAGAAGUUUUAUUGGGACCACGACCAUAAAUAGCAUCAGUAACCUGUGCGUCAGCAGAGUACUGGUAGCUGCGCAAAAGGGACUAGGUUCAUCUGGCCUGUGGACGUGGACUCAGGACCCGAGUCAGGGCCUCUGCGUUAUUGGGCAGCCCGGCAAAGGACACGAGUUGGGAUGAGAAUCCGUCUCGGCUCUGCUCACCAAAAUGUGUGUCCUUGGGCACAGCUGGAUCUGCCCGGUGAACGGUGACUUCCACCCCUCCAGGCCUCCCCAACAGAGGUACCGUCAGCUAGCCAAGUUGUACCGACACACAGAACAGAAGGGGCACCGUCUUCUAACCCGUCUGGGAGCCGCAAGGGCAUCCUUCACAUCAUUUGCAGUUGGGCACCUAUGAGUUGUUAGAGGCCUUGACUUAUGGUAUAUAUGGGACAAUCGAGAAGGAGCAAAGUGAAGUUUUCUGUUAAGAGGGGAAAACAUUAAAAGGAAGACCAAAUCUACUCCCUCUCCUUUACAAACCAUGAAUGCGGGGACCUUGCUUUUGCUUUUGAAUUAUGUGAUAUGUUUGAUAAAUCGGAUGGACAUAAGUGUUAAGUGAAGAUAAUUUUGUGAUAAUUAAAACAUCCAGAUAAAAUAUUCUACAGUGGUUUCUCUUUCCAUUCCUCCACCUCUCUCUUUUUUCCUCUCUCUCCCACUUUCUUUUUUGAUAAUCAGCGUAGCAGCUAAUAAAUGUAUGAAAUAUCCCGGGUGGCUCA
Molecule: long non-coding RNA, 1188 nt
Filed under: Ursus maritimus (polar bear)
Lineage: Eukaryota; Metazoa; Chordata; Mammalia; Carnivora; Ursidae
Description: lncRNA (ENSUMAG00000016071.1)
Source: RNAcentral